AGAGUUUGAUCCUGGCUCAGGACGAACGCUGGCGGCGUGCCUAACACAUGCAAGUCGAACGGACCCGCAAGGGUCAGUGGCAAACGGGUGCGUAACACGUGAGGAACCUGUCCAACGGCGGGGGAUAGCCGGCCCAACGGCCGGGUAAUACCGCGUACGACCUUCGGGGGGCAUCCCCUGGAGGUGAAAGCAGCAAUGCGCCGAUGGAGGGCCUCGCGGCCUAUCAGCUAGUUGGUGAGGUCACGGCUCACCAAGGCUACGACGGGUAGCUGGUCCGAGAGGAUGACCAGCCACAUUGGGACUGAGACACGGCCCAGACUCCUACGGGAGGCAGCUGUGGGGAAUAUUGCGCAAUGGGCGAAAGCCUGACGCAGCGACGCCGCGUGUGGGAUGAAGGUCUUCGGAUUGUAAACCACUGUCGGGAGGGACGAAGCUCUGACGGUACCUCCAAAGGAAGCACCGGCUAACUCUGUGCCAGCAGCCGCGGUAAUACAGAGGGUGCAAGCGUUGUCCGGAAUCACUGGGCGUAAAGGGCGCGUAGGCGGCUUGGUAAGUAGGGGGUGAAAUUCUGCGGCUCAACCGCAGGACUGCCUCCUAAACUGCCUGGCUUGAGCACGGUAGAGGCUGGUGGAAUUCCCGGUGUAGCGGUGGAAUGCGUACUGAUCGGGAAGAACAUCGGUGGCGAAGGCGGCCAGCUGGGCCGUUGCUGACGCUGAGGCGCGACAGCGUGGGGAGCAAACAGGAUUAGAUACCCUGCUAGUCCACGCCGUAAACUAUGGGUACUAGGCGUCGGGGGGAAUCGACCCCUUCUGUGCCGUUGUUUAAUUUUAAAUAACUU
This 838-nucleotide ribosomal RNA is filed under the name uncultured bacterium. RNAcentral's name for it is "bacterial SSU rRNA". It matches the Rfam family "Bacterial small subunit ribosomal RNA", at positions 8 to 870 of the family's 1533-position model. The record is from RNAcentral.